UUGUUGGAGAGUUUGAUCCUGGCUCAGGACGAACGCUGGCGGCGUGCUUAACACAUGCAAGUCGAGCGGAAAGGCCCUUCGGGGUACUCGAGCGGCGAACGGGUGAGUAACACGUGAGCAACCUGCCCUAGGCUUUGGGAUAACCCUCGGAAACGGGGGCUAAUACCGAAUAUGACCUGGGCCUCGCAUGAGGCUUGGUGGAAAGUUUUUCGGCCUGGGAUGGGC
Molecule: ribosomal RNA, 225 nt
Filed under: Micromonospora sp. 4G55
Lineage: Bacteria; Bacillati; Actinomycetota; Actinomycetes; Micromonosporales; Micromonosporaceae
Description: partial 16S ribosomal RNA
Rfam family: Bacterial small subunit ribosomal RNA
Source: RNAcentral